This 780-nucleotide long non-coding RNA is filed under the name Bos mutus (wild yak). Its description in RNAcentral is "lncRNA (ENSBMUG00000003750.1)". Lineage: Eukaryota; Metazoa; Chordata; Mammalia; Artiodactyla; Bovidae. The record is from RNAcentral.
CAGCAAGACCAGAGCUUCUGGUGUUGGGGACCCAGAGCUUCCGAGUGUCUCCCACAAGGGAGCAGCAGCCUUGUAGAUUUGCUGUGGUAAUUUGCAGACGGUUCCUGGUAGCUACAAGGUCUCUGAGGCGGAGCCUGGGCCUUUGCAUAGGAAAAAAAUCCAGCCUGGGUUCCCCGGCGGUCCAGCAGCACUGGGGCGGGGCCGAGGUUGGCGGCGGCCGGGGAGGAGCCGCGAUGCCGCUCCCAUGGUGAUGCUGCGGGGAAUUUGCUGACCGUCCCUUGCCAGGUGGGGCUGGCUUCGAGCAGGCCAGCGCGGAGGAGGACCGGCGGGCAGUCUCCUCCCAGGUAGGGAGCGUGUCGCCUGGCCUCACAUUCCGGCCGCCUGCCUACCUUGCCUGGCGCUGGGGCCGUGGCGCCGAAGGCGCAGACGUGGUGAGCACGCGGGUGGGAUGCUCCAGAAGCGAUCCGGCUGGAAGAAGGGGCGCGGAAUCCCGGUCCUGGACAGGGAGUCUUGGAGGAGCCUGCUUUGUGGUCUGGAAUUAAGCGGAGACGCAGCCAGGACACUUGGAAGCACCUGGGGAUUGAUUAAGAGGAGGGUGAGCCGGUGACAGCUCAUCUUGGGAGCCCCCUGACCUCACCUGCUGCUGCAGCACACCCGUGGCUGAGUUGGGCCGCCAGGCCUGAUUGAGAGGCUCCCUGGAGAACUGAUUCAAGUAGGCAAAAUCUCUCCCCUAGGCCUUCAAACUUAAUGGACGUGCCUGCCUCCUUUUUCCACCGGCUU